Molecule: ribosomal RNA, 1351 nt
Filed under: Candidatus Wolfebacteria bacterium GW2011_GWA2_42_10
Lineage: Bacteria; Candidatus Wolfeibacteriota
Description: bacterial SSU rRNA
Rfam family: Bacterial small subunit ribosomal RNA
Source: RNAcentral
UUUGAGAGUUUGAUCCUAGCUCAGGAUGAACGCUGGCGGCGUGGAUAAGGCAUGCAAGUCGAACGAUCCAUUUUUUGAACAAGAUGAGAUUACAUCAAAUUAAGGGAAGAAAAUGGAUAGUGGCGAACGAGUUAGUAAUACCUUGGUACAUACCCUAAAGUGGAACAUAAUUCGUCGAAAGGCGGACUAAUUUUCCAUAGUAUCCGAUGCAACAUUCGGAUUAAAGGCAGCAGUCGAGAAUAUUCCACAAUGGGCGAAAGCCUGAUGGAGCGACGCCGCGUGCAGGAUGAAGGCCUUCGGGUUGUAAACUGCUUUUAACUGGGAAGAAGUCGCAAGACUGACGGUACCAGUUGAAUAAGGGGUUGCUAACUCUGUGCCAGCAGCAGCGGUAAUACAGAGACCCCGAGCGUUAUCCGGAUUUAUUGGGCGUAAAGAGCGUGUAGGGAGAUUGAUGUGUCUGAAGUUAAAUCUCAGGGCCUAACCCUGAGCCUGCUUCGGAAACUAUCAAACUAGAGGGCGUUAGAGGCAGAUGGAACAGCCGGUGUAGGGGUGAAAUCCGUUGAUAUCGGCUGGAACACCAAAGGCGAAGGCAUUCUGCUGGGACGUUCCUGACCCUGAGACGCGAAAGCGUGGGCAGCAAAAAGGAUUAGAUACCCUUGUAGUCCACGCCCUAAACGAUGUCCGCUAGCUGUUUCGAGUAUCGACCCUCGGAGUGGCGAAGCUAACGCGUUAAGCGGACCGCCUGGGAAGUACGGUCGCAAGACUAAAACUCAAAGGAAUAGACGGGGACCCGCACAAGCGGUGGAGCAUGAGGUUUAAUUCGAUGGUACACGAGAAACCUUACCAGGGUUUGAAAUGUUGGCGAAAGCUGUUUGAAAGGACAGCUGUCUCACAAGGACGCCAGCACAGGUGCUGCAUGGUUGUCGUCAGCUCGUGGUUUGAAUUGUUCCCUUAAGUGGGGUAACGAGCGCAACCCCUGUUGUCUGUUAUAAGUGUCAGACGAGACUGCCGUGUUUACACGGAGGAAGGCGGGGAUGACGUCAAAUCCGCAUGGCCCUCUGAUACCCUGGGCCACACUCAUGCUACAAUGGCCGAUACAAAGGGUUUGCCAAAGCGCAAGCUGGAGCUAAUCUCAGAAAAUCGGCCCCACGCCCUCAUGAAGCCGGAAUCGCUAGUAAUCGCGCAUCAGCUAUGGCGCGGUGAAUACGUUCUCGGGUCCUGUACUCACCGCCCGUCACGCCAAGGGAGCCGGGAGAAGGUGAACCCCGACAUUGCGUCGGAGCAGCCUUAGCUCGGUGACAUGGGCGAAGUCGUAACAAGGCACGCGUAGCGGAAGCUGUGCGUGAAUCAA